GAAAUGCGAUAAGUAGUGUGAAUUGCAGAAUUCAGUGAAUCAUCGAAUCUUUGAACGCACAUUGCGCCCCUUGGUAUUCCAUGGGGCAUGCCUGUUCGAGCGUCAUUUGUACCCUCAAGCUCUGCUUGGUGUUGGGUGUUUGUCCCGUCUCCGCGCGUGGACUCGCCCCAAAGUGAUUGGCAGCCGGCGUACUGGUCCCGGAGCGCAGCACAUGUCGCGCAAACGAGUGCCUUGGUACGGCGGCGUCCAUAAGCCCCUCUCUCACGCUCUUGACCCGGGAUCAGGUAGGGAUACCCGCUGAACUUAAGC
This 309-nucleotide unclassified non-coding RNA is filed under the name plant metagenome. RNAcentral's name for it is "partial contains 5.8S ribosomal RNA, internal transcribed spacer 2, and large subunit ribosomal RNA". The stretch from base 1 to 105 matches the Rfam family "5.8S ribosomal RNA", at positions 50 to 154 of the family's 154-position model. The record is from RNAcentral.